GAUGAACGCUGGCGGCGUGCCUAAUACAUGCAAGUCGAGCGAACAGAUGAGGAGCUUGCUCCUCUGGCGUGAGCGGCGGACGGGUGAGUAACACGUGGAUAACCUACCUAUAGGGGGGGAAUACCUUCGGAAACGCAUUGAUAUUACCGAAGAAUAUCUUAAACAACAGGGUUCAGUUUGGAACGAGCGCUUUGCUGUCACUUAUAGGUUGAUCCGCGGGUGUUUAGCGUGUUGGGAGGGUAAGGGCCCGCCAAGGCAACGAUCAGUAGCGGGCCGGAGAGGCGGACCGGCACAACUGGAACUGAGAAACGGCCAAGACUCCAACGGGGGGAACAGGUGGGGAAUUUUGGACAAUGGGCGAAAGCCUGAUGCAGAAAUGCGGGGUGUGUGAAGAGGGCCUUCGGGUUGUAAAGCACUUUUGUCGGGAAAGAAGUCCUUGAGACUAAAACGGUCGGGGAGUGACGGUACCGAAACAGAAAGCACCGGCUAACUACGUG
Molecule: ribosomal RNA, 497 nt
Filed under: uncultured bacterium
Lineage: Bacteria
Description: partial 16S ribosomal RNA
Rfam family: Bacterial small subunit ribosomal RNA
Source: RNAcentral